GACGAACCGUGCGAACGUUAUUCGGAAUCACUGGGCUUAAAGGGCGCGUAGGCGGGUUGCCAAGUCGGAGGUGAAAUCCUGCAGCUCAACUGCAGAAGUGCCCCCGAUACUGGCAGUCUCGAGUGAGGUAGGGGCAUGUGGAACUUCCGGUGGAGCGGUGAAAUGCGUAGAUAUCGGAAGGAACGCCGGUGGCGAAAGCGACGUGCUGGACCUCAACUGACGCUGAGGCGCGAAAGCGUGGGGAGCGAACAGG
Molecule: ribosomal RNA, 253 nt
Filed under: uncultured bacterium
Lineage: Bacteria
Description: partial 16S ribosomal RNA
Rfam family: Bacterial small subunit ribosomal RNA
Source: RNAcentral